CUAAGUUUGAUGGCGACCGGCGCACGGGUGAGUAACACGUAUCCAACCUGCCGAUGACUCGGGGAUAGCCUUUCGAAAGAAAGAUUAAUACCCGAUGGCAUAGUUCUCCGCAUGGUAGAACUAUUAAAGAAUUUCGGUUAUCGAUGGGGAUGCGUUCCAUUAGGCAGUUGGUGGGGUAACGGCCCACCAAACCUUCGAUGGAUAGGGGUUCUGAGAGGAAGGUCCCCCACAUUGGAACUGAGACACGGUCCAAACUCCUACGGGAGGCAGCAUG
Molecule: ribosomal RNA, 274 nt
Filed under: uncultured bacterium
Lineage: Bacteria
Description: partial 16S ribosomal RNA
Rfam family: Bacterial small subunit ribosomal RNA
Source: RNAcentral